This 497-nucleotide ribosomal RNA is filed under the name uncultured bacterium. Its description in RNAcentral is "partial 16S ribosomal RNA". It matches the Rfam family "Bacterial small subunit ribosomal RNA", at positions 28 to 507 of the family's 1533-position model. The record is from RNAcentral.
GAUGAACGCUGGCGGCGUGCCUAAUACAUGCAAGUCGAGCGAACGGACGAGAAGCUUGCUUCUCUGAUGUUAGCGGCGGACGGGUGAGUAACACGUGGAUAACCUACCUAUAAGACUGGGAUAACUUCGGGAAACCGGAGCUAAUACCGGAUAAUAUUUUGAACCGCAUGGUUCAAAAGUGAAAGACGGUCUUGCUGUCACUUAUAGAUGGAUCCGCGCUGCAUUAGCUAGUUGGUAAGGUAACGGCUUACCAAGGCAACGAUGCAUAGCCGACCUGAGAGGGUGAUCGGGCACACUGGCACUGAGACACGGUCCAGACGCCUACGGGAGGCAGCAGUAGGGAAUCUUACGCAAUGGGCGAAAGCCUGACGGAGCAACGCCGCGUGAGUGAUGAAGGUCUUCGGAUCGUAAAACUCUGUUAUUAGGGAAGAACAUAUGUGUAAGGAACUGUGCACAUCUUGACGGUACCUAAUCAGAAAGCCACGGCUAACUACGUG